This 94-nucleotide non-coding RNA is filed under the name Stegastes partitus (bicolor damselfish). Lineage: Eukaryota; Metazoa; Chordata; Actinopteri; Pomacentridae. The record is from RNAcentral.
GGGUCAAUGAUGACUAGCCCACUGCGCAAGCUGAUCAGUGCAUGUCUUUUAGUGCAUUGCUGGAGAAAUCAGUGCUGCUCAUUGCCUGAGACCC